UACAGAGGUCUCAAGCGUUGUUCGGAAUUACUGGGCGUAAAGAGUGUGUAGGCGGUGCUCCCAGUCUGUUGUGAAAUCUCCCGGCUUAACUGGGAGGGUGCAGCGGAAACUAGAGUGCUAGAGGGUGGGAGAGGUAAGCGGAAUUCCUGGUGUAGCGGUGAAAUGCGUAGAUAUCAGGAGGAACACCUGUGGUGUAGACAGCUUACUGGACCACUUCUGACGCUGAGACACGAAAGCGUGGGUAGCAAACAGG
This 253-nucleotide ribosomal RNA is filed under the name uncultured bacterium. Its description in RNAcentral is "partial 16S ribosomal RNA". It matches the Rfam family "Bacterial small subunit ribosomal RNA", at positions 524 to 776 of the family's 1533-position model. The record is from RNAcentral.